RNAcentral lists this ribosomal RNA (305 nucleotides) under uncultured bacterium. Its description in RNAcentral is "bacterial SSU rRNA". It matches the Rfam family "Bacterial small subunit ribosomal RNA", at positions 336 to 639 of the family's 1533-position model. The record is from RNAcentral.
UUCCUACGGGAGGCAGCAGUGAGGAAUAUUGGUCAAUGGGCGCGAGCCUGAACCAGCCAAGUCGCGUGAGGGAAGACGGUCCUAUGGAUUGUAAACCUCUUUUGUCGGGGAGCAAAAGACGCCACGCGUGGCGUUCCGAGAGUACCCGAAGAAAAAGCAUCGGCUAACUCCGUGCCAGCAGCCGCGGUAAUACGGAGGAUGCGAGCGUUAUCCGGAUUUAUUGGGUUUAAAGGGUGCGCAGGCGGAAGAUCAAGUCAGCGGUAAAAUGUCGGGGCUCAACCCCGGCCGGCCGUUGAAACUGGUUU